RNAcentral lists this ribosomal RNA (253 nucleotides) under uncultured bacterium. RNAcentral describes it as "partial 16S ribosomal RNA". It matches the Rfam family "Bacterial small subunit ribosomal RNA", at positions 524 to 776 of the family's 1533-position model. The record is from RNAcentral.
UACGUAGGGGGCUAGCGUUGUCCGGAAUCAUUGGGCGUAAAGCGCGUGUAGGCGGUUCGGUAAGUCCGCUGUGAAAGUCGGGGGCUCAACCCUCGAAAGCCGGUGGAUACUGUCGGACUAGAGUGCGGAAGAGGAGAGUGGAAUUCCUGGUGUAGCGGUGAAAUGCGCAGAUAUCAGGAAGAACACCCGUGGCUAAGGCGGCUCUCUAGUACGGUACUGACGCUGAGACGCGAAAGCGUGGGGAGCAAACAGG